Molecule: ribosomal RNA, 445 nt
Filed under: uncultured bacterium
Lineage: Bacteria
Description: partial 16S ribosomal RNA
Rfam family: Bacterial small subunit ribosomal RNA
Source: RNAcentral
GUGAGGAAUAUUGGUCAAUGGGCGGGAGCCUGAACCAGCCAAGUAGCGUGAAGGAAGAAGGAUCUAUGGUUCGUAAACUUCUUUUGCAGGGGAAUAAAGUGCAGGACGUGUCCUGUUUUGUAUGUACCCUGAGAAUAAGGAUCGGCUAACUCCGUGCCAGCAGCCGCGGUAAUACGGAGGAUCCGAGCGUUAUCCGGAGUUAUUGGGUUUAAAGGGUGCGUAGGUGGUUUGAUAAGUCAGCGGUGAAAGUUUGCAGCUUAACUGUAAAAAUGCCGUUGAAACUGUCGGACUUGAGUGUAAAUGAGGUAGGCGGAAUGCGUGGUGUAGCGGUGAAAUGCAUAGAUAUCACGCAGAACUCCGAUUGCGAAGGCAGCUUACUAAGCUACAACUGACACUGAAGCACGAAAGCGUGGGGAUCAAACAGGAUUAGAUACCCGUGUAGUCC